RNAcentral lists this long non-coding RNA (2029 nucleotides) under Homo sapiens (human). Its description in RNAcentral is "HSALNT0305194". Lineage: Eukaryota; Metazoa; Chordata; Mammalia; Primates; Hominidae. The record is from RNAcentral.
CUAGAACUGGACACCUCGGGGGUUUCCUGCUUUAUGGCGAAGGGCCAGGGCCCCACACCUUCCGCCUGACAGCCAGCCAAGCUCUUCAGUCCCCCGCCCUCCACCUGCCAGGGAGGCUCCGGGCGUUGUACCUGCCACCACGGGGUAGGUCUGACGGAGUUUUGCUCUUGUUGCCCAAGCUGGAGUGCAAUGGUGCGAUCUUCGCUUACUGCAACCUCUGCUUCCUGGGUUCAAGUGAUUCCCCUGCCUCAGCCUCCCGAGUAGCAGGGAUUACAGAUGGAGCCUCGCUCUGUCACCCAGGCUGGAGUGCAGUGGCACAAUCUCGGGUCACUGCAACCUCCGCCCCCCAGCUUCAAGCGAUUCUCCUGUCUCAGCCUCCCGAGUAGCUAGGAUUACAGGUGCACGCCACCAGGCCUGGCUAAUUUUUAUAUUUUUAGUAGAGAUGGGAUUUUGCCUUGUUGGCCAGGCUGGUCUCAAACUCCUGACCUCAGGUGACCCAUCCACCUUGGCCUCCCAAAGUGCUGGGACUACAGGUGUGAGCCACCAUGCCUGGUCCCCCACUUGUUGAUUUUGCAGAAAAGAUAGCUGUGUUACAACCUGUCCUAAGGUCAGGUAUGAAUACUUGUGCUUCUUUCUUGGCUCCCCAAGCCAGAGGGCAUUCCUAUGCCCAGGUGAGAGAGCACGGAGUGUUACUUUGGCAGCACAGUCAGUUACCAGAGGUAGGAAAAGCAAAGGCCAGGCAGGACAUGAGGGGCCCUUGCACUGGCUGGUUCUCCCUGCCUUCACCACCCUCCAGGUGAAUGACUGGGUGAAUAAUGAUUGACUGAGGAGGUAAUGAAUAAUUUAUGGACACUGCUGGACCUCAGUCUCCUCAUCUGAAAGAUGAGUGGUUGGAGAAGUUUAAUGGUUUUCAAAUGCUUUUUUUUUCAGUCUUCAAAUAAGUGUUUACGUAGAAGCACCAUAUCUGAAACAGGUGACAGUGGACCAGUCUGAAUGAAAUGAGGGUUGGCAGGCCUGAGCUCCAAAACCUUCUGAUUGCCCAAGCCCUCCUUGUCUUGCUUGGAUUAUCUCCACACAAAUGGAGAAACUGGACAAGGUGGUCAUGGAGGUCCCUGAAAGCUCAAAGACUUUCUCAUUCCAGGAUUCCCCAUGUUCAUAUGCCAGCAUGGCAUGGGGGUGCUCUGUAGUCAAGCAGGGUCCUUUGGGGGGCUUAGGGAUGGAGCCAGGAAAUGGCUCUGGGACUCAGCGGGUGUCCAGAGUCUCAUCAGCAGGGUUUCUUUACUUUCACUGAGUGGCUGGUGCCUGCACACUGAGUUUUGCAGGCUUACUCUCACAGAGUGAGCUUCCUGCAGGCCCCCCACUGCAACCCCUUUCCUUCCUGGAGCUGUGUGCUGACUGGUGCGUGAGCACCCCAGGCCCUCUCCCCAUGCUGCUGAUGGUCAGCUUUCUCUGCACGCUCGUGGUUGCCACAGUCAACGCUGAUAAAAUUGCUGAUGCAGAUUGCCUGCCCAGCUGCGAGUGCUGGCACGGGACCAGCAGCCCAGACGGUCACUGGAAGUGGUUGGGCUGAUUAUUGGCAUCAUCUCCAUUGUCCUACUCGGUUCUUAAAGGCAUAUGGACUUGCCUCACUCCUACAGCAAAUGACGGCAUGGGCAAAGAGGGGCAACAGACCCACCCUGAAGACACUCCUCAUCUGGUUGACUUGGCAGGGUUAAGGGAAAAAGAUGUGAUGACUAGGAGCUGAGAGCUUAGUGGUUCUGCCAGAGCUGCAGAGUCUUUGUUGGCCUCAGGGUGGGACCUCUCACAUCUCUGUCAGCUUUUCACGGACACCAACCUGUUAUGAUUCAUUUCACCUGUCCUGAGCACUAGCAAGAAAAAUUCGCUGUAGCUUGUGAUGUAUUAUUCUGGAUUUCUCAACUCAUUCAUUUGUUCAUUCAUUCACUAUACCAUUACUGUCUAUUAUAAGGGGGGCACAAUGGUAGGUGCUGGGAAUAAAAACGAUGUUUAACGUUUCAUGAGGCUUCCCUGU